RNAcentral lists this long non-coding RNA (301 nucleotides) under Brassica rapa (field mustard). RNAcentral's name for it is "long non-coding RNA (BRAP_LNC002484)". Lineage: Eukaryota; Viridiplantae; Streptophyta; Magnoliopsida; Brassicales; Brassicaceae. The record is from RNAcentral.
UUUUAGCUCGGUUGAUCUCCUUCUGCUCGGCUCUCGUAAAAAGGGAUAAUCUCUUCGAUGUCGAUUGGUUAAUAUGAGGAUGCGGCUCCGAGAUCCAGCUCUCUGCAAAAAGAGAAAUCCUUAAUAGACAUCAUUCAUUUACUCGAGAACCUGGAAAGGUAGUGGAGACUUACGGUUGGCAAUCCGGUCUACAGAUUUCUGAAUCCUCUCUCGAGUAAAAUCCUCCCAGUGAUCUUGCUUCUGCAACGCAACAAUUCGAGCACUCUCCCUCCAAUCCUCGGGGUACGUGGCGAGAUUCGGG